GGUCAAGAGGUUAAGACACCGCCCUUUCACGGCGGUAACAGGGGUUCAAUUCCACCAAUUA
This 61-nucleotide transfer RNA is filed under the name Clostridioides difficile. RNAcentral's name for it is "tRNA-Glu". Lineage: Bacteria; Bacillati; Bacillota; Clostridia; Peptostreptococcales; Peptostreptococcaceae. The record is from RNAcentral.